Molecule: transfer RNA, 73 nt
Filed under: Felis catus (domestic cat)
Lineage: Eukaryota; Metazoa; Chordata; Mammalia; Carnivora; Felidae
Also listed under: 6 other names
Rfam family: tRNA
About the family: Transfer RNA (tRNA) molecules are approximately 80 nucleotides in length. Their secondary structure includes four short double-helical elements and three loops (D, anti-codon, and T loops).
Source: Rfam by way of RNAcentral
ACCUGGCUGGCUCAGUUGGUGGAGCAUGUGACUCUUGAUCUCAGGGUUGUGAGUUUGAGCCCCAUGUUGGGUG